Molecule: non-coding RNA, 387 nt
Organism: Danio rerio (zebrafish)
Lineage: Eukaryota; Metazoa; Chordata; Actinopteri; Cypriniformes; Danionidae
Source: RefSeq, a predicted model, not a curated record
GAAGAUACACACGUGUGUUUGUUGUGUUUCUGCUGCAGAUCUUUGACCUGUUCUCAACAGCUGACGCUCCUCCACACACUCCUCCACAUCCAGGCGGAUUCACAGCUCCAGUAAAGCUCACACACAGGUCAGCAGUCCAACAUCAGUUCCAGCAGGUGUUCAGACAUGGAGAUCUGUGGCUCUGUGGUAAGAGCGCUGCCCCACGGCUUCAGGGGUUGCUGGUAUCGGUCCCAGCCAGAACUCUGCGAUAUGUGUGAAUGGAUCUACUAAACCAGGUCAGAGGUCAUGGAGAGCUCUCGAGUGGAUCUGGAUUCCUGCUGGAUUGGAAACAACUGUUUCCUGAGUUAUUUGUCAUGUUAUGUGUUAAUUCUGUUUAAAGUCAUUUCC